Non-coding RNA from Biomphalaria pfeifferi, 727 nucleotides. Lineage: Eukaryota; Metazoa; Mollusca; Gastropoda; Planorbidae. The record is from the annotation of a GenBank genome assembly.
ACCAGAUAGGGGAAAGAGGAAGAUAGUGACCAGAUAGGGGAAAGAGGAAGAUAGUGACCAGAUAGGGGAAAGAGGAAGACAGUGACCAGAGAGAGGGGAAAGAGGAAGACAGUGACCAGAUAGAGGGAAAGAGGAAGACAGUGACCAGAGAGAAGGGUGAGGAGGGGGAUGGUCAGAGAAAAGAAGUGGGUGGCUACCUGGCGUUCGGUUGUCUCUAUGGUCCCGGGUUCAUACCCUCCUCACUGUCAUCCCCGUCGUCCUGCGGGAGGUUUGAACUAGAAAGUCAAUUAGUGAGAGAGGGUCUAAAUAGAGGCAACAGAGAAGGAGUGAGGAAGCGAAGAAAUAAGGAAGAGCGGGACGAGAGAGAGAGGGAGUAAAGAAAAGAGGGCAUGAGGACUAGAGGAAGAAUAUCAAUGAGUGUAAAGAUCAAUCUCAAAUCAUUUCCCGUGCAUCUAUUCAACAAGUUUCGAUUAGCUUCUCAAUUAUUUCAUCAAUACACCACGGGACACUUGUGCACGAAGGCAGGUGAGACUCAGAGGGGAGCUUUUGUUCACAAUGUCGAGUGACAUGCAAAGUAAUAAUAUCAAUCAAGGUUCAAACGAGACUCCGAAGCUAACAUUACUUCUAGAUCUAUAACGAACUGUGUAAAAGCAUUAUAAAACAAAACGAGGUAUAGAGUUGCGUCAAAUAGAGAAUCGCUGCACAGUGUCCUCCCCCCCCCCCCCCA